Aegilops tauschii subsp. strangulata is the source of this 794-nucleotide non-coding RNA. Lineage: Eukaryota; Viridiplantae; Streptophyta; Magnoliopsida; Poales; Poaceae. The record is from RefSeq and is a predicted model, not a curated record.
UGGGUCUAAUGAAGGUGACACUGACUUGGAUAAGUACAUGGCAGAAGUUACAGUAAGGCUUUCAAAGGUUGCUUUUGAGAACUUUGAUAUCUUAUCAUGGUGGAAAACACAUCAAGAUGUAUAUCCUGUGUUAUCAAUGCUUGCUCGUGAUGUUUUGGCCAUACAAGUGUCCACUAUUGCCUCGGAAGCAGCUUUCAGUGCCGGUGGUCGUGUUAUUGAUCCAUUCCGUAGUCGUCUUGGCCCCUAUGUGGUAGAAGCAUUAAUAUGUACAAAAGACUGGGUUGUUGCAUCUAGGAAAAAUAACAAUAAAAAAGGGGAUAGACUUGGUUCUAUUGUGAACGAUCUGGAGGUUGUGGAAACACUUGUUGCUAAUAUGAGUCUUGAGGAAUAGCUUGACGAAAAGCAACAAGCAGAAGCUGACAGUGAUGAUGACAAUUUCGAUUAUACCAUGAGUACUUCAACUUUAGGGGAGAGGCUAGCCAUGCAAGAUAAUCAAGGAACGGAUAUUGAAUAAGAGGCUGAUCAACUGCAUCAGGAGCAAGAAGUUUAGGGUGAUACCAGUGGAUUGGAAGAACACCAUGUUGAAGAGAAAUCAAGGAUGAUUACCGGCUUCUACGUACUUGAUCGGAUACUUGCCUUUCAUAAUAAAUAAAAACUUCGAUUGAAUUAAAUAUUUCUUAAGUACGACCUUCGUCUUGGACACUAUGUGUAAUGCUAUCAGCAUAUUAUCGGUACUACAUAUUGUUGCUAUACUCGUGAUUUAUAACUUUAAAACGCCACUCUCUAGUGUUAUG